RNAcentral lists this ribosomal RNA (253 nucleotides) under uncultured bacterium. Its description in RNAcentral is "partial 16S ribosomal RNA". It matches the Rfam family "Bacterial small subunit ribosomal RNA", at positions 524 to 776 of the family's 1533-position model. The record is from RNAcentral.
UACGUAGGGGGCUAGCGUUGUCCGGAAUCAUUGGGCGUAAAGCGCGUGUAGGCGGUCCGGUAAGUCCGCUGUGAAAGUCGAGGGCUCAACCCUCGAAUGCCGGUGGAUACUGUCGGGCUUGAGUACGGGAGAGGCGAGUGGAAUUCCUGGUGUAGCGGUGAAAUGCGCAGAUAUCAGGAGGAACACCGAUGGCGAAGGCAGCCUCCUGGACGGGUACUGACGCUGAGGCGCGAAAGCGUGGGGAGCGAACGGG